GAUGAACGCUAGCGGCAGGCCUAACACAUGCAAGUCGAGGGAGGAGCUUUCGGGCUUCGACCGGCGUACGGGUGCGUAACGCGUAUACAAUCUGCCUUUCACAUAGGGAUAGCCCGAAGAAAUUUGGAUUAAUACCUAAUGGUAUAUAGGAGUGGCAUCACCUUUAUAUUAAAGCUGAGGCGGUGAAAGAUGAGUAUGCGUUCUAUUAGCUAGUUGGAGAGGUAACGGCUCCCCAAGGCGACGAUAGAUAGGGGUUCUGAGAGGGAUAUCCCCCACACUGGUACUGAGAUACGGACCAGACACCUACGGGAGGCAGCAGUGAGGAAUAUUGGACAAUGGUCGGAAGACUGAUCCAGCCAUGCCGCGUGCAGGAAGACGGCCUUAUGGGUUGUAAACUGCUUUUGCAGGGGAAGAAUAAGGAGUACGUGUACUUUGAUGACGGUACUCUGCGAAUAAGCAUCGGCUAACUCCGUG
Molecule: ribosomal RNA, 474 nt
Filed under: uncultured bacterium
Lineage: Bacteria
Description: partial 16S ribosomal RNA
Rfam family: Bacterial small subunit ribosomal RNA
Source: RNAcentral